Non-coding RNA from Podarcis lilfordi (Lilford's wall lizard), 115 nucleotides. The record is from the annotation of a GenBank genome assembly. NCBI's taxonomy places the organism in Eukaryota, Metazoa, Chordata, Lepidosauria, Squamata, Lacertidae.
AAAACUUCUCGGCCUUUUGGCUAGGAUCAAGUGUAGUAUCUGCUCUUAUCAGUUUAACUUCUGCUCCUUUCAUCUAACGCCUCAAUAUCUGAAACCUGUAGGGCAGCUACCUAAU